GGCGGAUCAGCCCGCUCCCGGUAAAACGGGACGGCCCGCCAGAGGACCCCUAAACUCUGUUUCUAUAUGUAACUUCUGAGUAAAACCAUAAAUAAAUCAAAACUUUCAACAACGGAUCUCUUGGUUCUGGCAUCGAUGAAGAACGCAGCAAAAUGCGAUAAGUAAUGUGAAUUGCAGAAUUCAGUGAAUCAUCGAAUCUUUGAACGCACAUUGCGCCCGCCAGUAUUCUGGCGGGCAUGCCUGUUCGAGCGUCAUUUCAACCCUCAAGCACAGCUUGGUGUUGGGACUCGCGUUAAUUCGCGUUCCCCAAAUUGAUUGGCGGUCACGUCGAGCUUCCAUAGCGUAGUAGUAAAACCCUCGUUACUGGUAAUCGUCGCGGCCACGCCGUUAAACCCCAACUUCUGAAUGUUGACCUCGGAUCAGGUAGGAAUACCCGCUGAACUU
This 444-nucleotide ribosomal RNA is filed under the name Fusarium oxysporum. Its description in RNAcentral is "eukaryotic LSU rRNA". The stretch from base 101 to 254 matches the Rfam family "5.8S ribosomal RNA". The record is from RNAcentral. Lineage: Eukaryota; Fungi; Ascomycota; Sordariomycetes; Hypocreales; Nectriaceae.